GAUGAACGCUGGCGGCGUGCUUAACACAUGCAAGUCGAACGGAAAGACCCUGCUUUUGUGGGGUGCCCGAGUGGCGAACGGGUGAGUAACACGUGAGCAACCUGCCCUUGACUUUGGGAUAACUUCAGGAAACUGGGGUUAAUACAGGAUAGGAGCUCCUGUUGCAUGGAGGGGGUUGGAACGUUUCGGCGGUCGGGGUUGGACUCGCGGCUUAUCAGCUUGUUGGUGGGGUAGUGGCUUACCAAGGCUUUGACGGGUAGCCGGCCUGAGAGGGUGACCGGCCACAUUGGGACUGAGAUACGGCCCAGACUCCUACGGGAGGCAGCAGUGGGGAAUAUUGCACAAUGGGCGGAAGCCUGAUGCAGCAACGCCGCGUGCGGGAUGACGGCCUUCGGGUUGUAAACCGCUUUCGCCUGUGACGAAGCGUGAGUGACGGUAAUGGGUAAAGAAGCACCGGCUAACUACGUG
RNAcentral lists this ribosomal RNA (468 nucleotides) under uncultured bacterium. RNAcentral's name for it is "partial 16S ribosomal RNA". It matches the Rfam family "Bacterial small subunit ribosomal RNA", at positions 28 to 507 of the family's 1533-position model. The record is from RNAcentral.